GACGAACGCUGGCGGCGUGCUUAACACAUGCAAGUCGAACGGAAAGGCCCUGCUUUUGUGGGGUGCUCGAGUGGCGAACGGGUGAGUAACACGUGAGUAACCUGCCCUUGACUUUGGGAUAACUUCAGGAAACUGGGGCUAAUACCGGAUAGGAGCUCCUGCUGCAUGGUGGGGGUUGGAAAGUUUCGGCGGUUGGGGAUGGACUCGCGGCUUAUCAGCUUGUUGGUGGGGUAGUGGCUUACCAAGGCUUUGCCGGGUAGCCGGCCUGAGAGGGUGACCGGCCACAUUGGGACUGAGAUACGGCCCAGACUCCUACGGGAGGCAGCAGUGGGGAAUAGUGCACAAUGGGCGGAAGCCUGAUGCAGCAACGCCGCGUGCGGGAUGACGGCCUUCGGGUUGUAAACCGCUUUCGCCUGUGACGAAGCGUGAGUGACGGUAAUGGGUAAAGAAGCACCGGCUAACUACGUG
Molecule: ribosomal RNA, 468 nt
Filed under: uncultured bacterium
Lineage: Bacteria
Description: partial 16S ribosomal RNA
Rfam family: Bacterial small subunit ribosomal RNA
Source: RNAcentral